This 72-nucleotide transfer RNA is filed under the name Bos taurus (domestic cattle). It matches the Rfam family "tRNA". Rfam says of the family: Transfer RNA (tRNA) molecules are approximately 80 nucleotides in length. Their secondary structure includes four short double-helical elements and three loops (D, anti-codon, and T loops). The record is from Rfam by way of RNAcentral. RNAcentral also lists the same sequence under 5 other names. Lineage: Eukaryota; Metazoa; Chordata; Mammalia; Artiodactyla; Bovidae.
UCCUUGGUGGCUCAGAUAGUAAAGCGUCUGCCUACAAUGUGGGAGACCCAGGUUCAAUCCCUGGGCCGGGAA